Molecule: ribosomal RNA, 497 nt
Filed under: uncultured bacterium
Lineage: Bacteria
Description: partial 16S ribosomal RNA
Rfam family: Bacterial small subunit ribosomal RNA
Source: RNAcentral
GAUGAACGCUGGCGGCGUGCCUAAUACAUGCAAGUCGAGCGAACGGACGAGAAGCUUGCUUCUCUGAUGUUAGCGGCGGACGGGUGAGUAACACGUGGAUAACCUACCUAUAAGACUGGGAUAACUUCGGGAAACCGGAGCUAAUACCGGAUAAUAUUUUGAACCGCAUGGUUCAAAAGUGAAAGACGGUCUUGCUGUCACUUAUAGAUGGAUCCGCGCUGCAUUAGCUAGUUGGUAAGGUAACGGCUUACCAAGGCAACGAUGCAUAGCCGACCUGAGAGGGUGAUCGGCCACACUGGAACUGAGACACGAUCCAGACUCCUACGGGAGGCAGCAGUAGGGAAUCUUCCGCAAUGGGCGAAAGCCUGACGGAGCAACGCCGCGUGAGUGAUGAAGGUCUUCGGAUCGUAAAACUCUGUUAUUAGGGAAGAACAUAUGUGUAAGUAACUGUGCACAUCUUGACGGUACCUAAUCAGAAAGCCACGGCUAACUACGUG